RNAcentral lists this ribosomal RNA (305 nucleotides) under uncultured bacterium. RNAcentral describes it as "bacterial SSU rRNA". It matches the Rfam family "Bacterial small subunit ribosomal RNA", at positions 333 to 636 of the family's 1533-position model. The record is from RNAcentral.
GCAGCCUACGGGACGCAGCAGUGAGGAAUAUUGGUCAAUGGGCGGAAGCCUGAACCAGCCAAGUCGCGUGAGGGAAUAAGGCCCUACGGGUCGUAAACCUCUUUUGCCGGGGAGCAAGGGCGGGGACGUGUCCGGGCCGGGAGAGUACCCGGAGAAAAAGCAUCGGCUAACUCCGUGCCAGCAGCCGCGGUAAUACGGAGGAUGCGAGCGUUAUCCGGAUUUAUUGGGUUUAAAGGGUGCGUAGGCGGGCAUUUAAGCCGGCGGUCAAAUGUCGGGGCUCAACCCCGGCCUGCCGUCGGAACUGG